This 253-nucleotide ribosomal RNA is filed under the name uncultured bacterium. Its description in RNAcentral is "partial 16S ribosomal RNA". It matches the Rfam family "Bacterial small subunit ribosomal RNA", at positions 524 to 776 of the family's 1533-position model. The record is from RNAcentral.
UACGAAGGGGGCUAGCGUUGCUCGGAAUCACUGGGCGUAAAGCGCACGUAGGCGGAUUGUUAAGUCGGGGGUGAAAUCCUGGAGCUCAACUCCAGAACUGCCUUCGAUACUGGCGAUCUUGAGUCCGGGAGAGGUGAGUGGAACUCCGAGUGUAGAGGUGAAAUUCGUAGAUAUUCGCAAGAACACCAGUGGCGAAGGCGGCUAACUGGUCCGGUUCUGACGCUGAGGCGCGAAAGCGUGGGGAGCAAACAGG